UGGAGGCCCGCAGCGAUACUGACGUGCAAAUCGUUCGCCUGACUUGGGUAUAGGGGCGAAAGACUAAUCGAACCAUCUAGUAGCAGGUUCCCUCUGAAGUUUCCCUCAGGAUAGCUGGAGCCCUUAGCGAGUUCUAUCUGGUAAAGCCAAUGAUUCGAGGCAUCGGGGGCGCAACGCCCUCGACCUAUUCUCAAACUGUAAAUAGGUAGGACGGUGUGGCUGCUUCGUUGAGCCGCGCCACGGAAUCGAGAGCUCUAAGUGGGCCAUUUUUGGUAAGCAGAACUGGCGAUG
This 291-nucleotide non-coding RNA is filed under the name Gossypium arboreum. RNAcentral's name for it is "Eukaryotic large subunit ribosomal RNA". It matches the Rfam family "Eukaryotic large subunit ribosomal RNA", at positions 868 to 1158 of the family's 3401-position model. The record is from Rfam by way of RNAcentral. Lineage: Eukaryota; Viridiplantae; Streptophyta; Magnoliopsida; Malvales; Malvaceae.